Long non-coding RNA from Helianthus annuus (common sunflower), 347 nucleotides. RefSeq lists it as uncharacterized. The record is from RefSeq and is a predicted model, not a curated record. The transcript is spliced from 3 exons. Lineage: Eukaryota; Viridiplantae; Streptophyta; Magnoliopsida; Asterales; Asteraceae.
AGCAAAAAUGGCUCUCAAAUAUUGAACCCUAACUCAUACAAAUUGACCAAAUCAAGAAGGCAAAUUGAAUUCAAAUCAAAAACCAAGCUCAAACUAGUGAUCACUCAAGUGAGGGGAUCACAAGGCAAGGAAAUCGAAUGUUCAAGCGGCCAAUUGGAGCGGACGCGCGCGCUUGAAGGAUAACCUUUGAAGGUGAUCGUAGUGUGCUCCCGGAUGAAGAUCAAGCGGUUAUCAAGAAUCGAACAUACGUCCAAACAAAGCUUCCGCGUUGAUCUAUUUUGUUUUAGUUAAGAGUGAACCUUGUAAACACUUGACAUUAUAUUUUGAACGUUUUAAACAUCUAUGAA